Molecule: ribosomal RNA, 441 nt
Filed under: uncultured bacterium
Lineage: Bacteria
Description: SSU rRNA
Rfam family: Bacterial small subunit ribosomal RNA
Source: RNAcentral
AGAACGAACGCUGGCGGCAUGCCUAACACAUGCAAGUCGAACGAGACCUUCGGGUCUAGUGGCGCACGGGUGCGUAACGCGUGGGAAUCUGCCCAAAGGUUCGGAAUAACUCAGGGAAACUUGAGCUAAUACCGGAUGAUGUCGCAAGACCAAAGAUUUAUCGCCUUUGGAUGAGCCCGCGUAGGAUUAGCUUGUUGGUGAGGUAAAGGCUCACCAAGGCUACGAUCCUUAGCUGGUCUGAGAGGAUGAUCAGCCACACUGGGACUGAGACACGGCCCAGACUCCUACGGGAGGCAGCAGUGGGGAAUAUUGGACAAUGGGCGAAAGCCUGAUCCAGCAAUGCCGCGUGAGUGAUGAAGGCCUAGGGUUGUAAAGCUCUUUACCCGGAAGAUAAUGACUGUACCGGAGAAUAAGCCCGGCUAACUCCGCGCCAGCAGCCGC